UUCAAACGAUUUAUGGAUCGGAUUCGGAAUUGGCGGAUGCUAAAAAUAAACUGUUAUGUGUAUACUCCUUUGCAGCACCAACGCUAAGCAGAAGUUUUAUGCAAAACUAAAAGGAAAA
Non-coding RNA from Bactrocera oleae (olive fruit fly), 118 nucleotides. NCBI's taxonomy places the organism in Eukaryota, Metazoa, Arthropoda, Insecta, Diptera, Tephritidae. The record is from RefSeq and is a predicted model, not a curated record.